Molecule: long non-coding RNA, 279 nt
Filed under: Neogobius melanostomus (round goby)
Lineage: Eukaryota; Metazoa; Chordata; Actinopteri; Gobiiformes; Gobiidae
Description: lncRNA (ENSNMLG00000008360.1)
Source: RNAcentral
CUGGACAAACAAUGGAAGAAAAAGAGCUCAGAGAGGAAAAGGCCCAGAGAUCUGCUCCUGGGACCGGCCCGGUGUCAGUGAGAAGUGAUCACUCCAAUUAUCGAUUGAUUGAUUUUAAAGGAAAUCAUCGUUCACAGAUCCUCCAGAAACAUCCUCCAUCUGAACCUGGUCCCAGCUGUGAGUCCCUCAGUGACCGGUCUAUGGGCAAACCAAUGGCAAGGCAAGGCAAGGCAAGGCAAGUUUAUUUAUAUGGCACAUUUCAUGUACAUGUACAACUCA